ACCUUCGGGCCUCUUGCCAUCAGAUGUGCCCAGAUGGGAUUAGCUUGUUGGUGAGGUAACGGCUCACCAAGGCGACGAUCCCUAGCUGGUCUGAGAGGAUGACCAGCCACACUGGAACUGAGACACGGUCCAGACUCCUACGGGAGGCAGCAGUGGGGAAUAUUGCACAAUGGGCGCAAGCCUGAUGCAGCCAUGCCGCGUGUAUGAAGAAGGCCUUCGGGUUGUAAAGUACUUUCAGCGGGGAGGAAGGUGUUGUGGUUAAUAACCGCAGCAAUUGACGUUACCCGCAGAAGAAGCACCGGCUAACUCCGUGCCAGCAGCCGCGGUAAUACGGAGGGUGCAAGCGUUAAUCGGAAUUACUGGGCGUAAAGCGCACGCAGGCGGUCUGUCAAGUCGGAUGUGAAAUCCCCGGGCUCAACCUGGGAACUGCAUUCGAAACUGGCAGGCUUGAGUCUUGUAGAGGGGGGUAGAAUUCCAGGUGUAGCGGUGAAAUGCGUAGAGAUCUGGAGGAAUACCGGUGGCGAAGGCGGCCCCCU
Molecule: ribosomal RNA, 536 nt
Filed under: Salmonella enterica subsp. enterica serovar Vitkin
Lineage: Bacteria; Pseudomonadati; Pseudomonadota; Gammaproteobacteria; Enterobacterales; Enterobacteriaceae
Description: bacterial SSU rRNA
Rfam family: Bacterial small subunit ribosomal RNA
Source: RNAcentral